CCCUUUCGGGGGUGCUCGAGCGGCGAACGGGUGAGUAACACGUGAGCAACCUGCCCUUGGCUUUGGGAUAACCCUCGGAAACGGGGGCUAAUACCGGGUAUUCACUGUCUGCGGCAUCGUGGGUGGUGGAAAGCUUUGGCGGCUGAGGAUGGGCUCGCGGCCUAUCAGCUUGUUGGUGGGGUGAUGGCCUACCAAGGCGACGACGGGUAGCCGGCCUGAGAGGGCGACCGGCCACACUGGGACUGAGACACGGCCCAGACUCCUACGGGAGGCAGCAGUGGG
RNAcentral lists this ribosomal RNA (282 nucleotides) under uncultured Micromonosporaceae bacterium. RNAcentral's name for it is "partial 16S ribosomal RNA". It matches the Rfam family "Bacterial small subunit ribosomal RNA", at positions 76 to 358 of the family's 1533-position model. The record is from RNAcentral. Lineage: Bacteria; Bacillati; Actinomycetota; Actinomycetes; Micromonosporales; Micromonosporaceae.